CUGCCCCUGUCACUCUCUGCAAUGAGAGCCUGCCUACGCAGCCGGCGAGAGGGCCUGAGGCUGCCGCUCCGAGCCUGCAGGCCGCUCCUGUGAGCUCUCGGGGCUGCCGGGGCGGUAAGAGGCUCAAUAGCGGUGACUCAGUGAUGUGGAGAAGAGGAUGUGGCGGAGAGCAAGUCAUGGUGGUUACUUGCUUUGAUCUGCCACCUGGCUCAGAAGCCGUGCGAGCUGCACGUAAUCGCUCCCCUUUGUGCAGUUUGAAGACAGGCUCGAACAGCAACACUCGCCCUUCUCGUUGCAGGGAUGGGCAUGCCAAGGAUUAAUAUCCACUGAAUCCACUAGUGUAUUACCGUGAUGAUCUGAACCCCUCGUUGAUCUCCAGCUCCCUGUUAAUUGAGAUGAGGUCUCUUGUCCCCCAGUGUCUAUUAAUUAUAGCAGUCUCCUUUUGUAUAGCAGUCUCACCCCUUAAUUUUCCCCACCCCUUUGGUCUCUGGGCAUAGGGUACUGCAAUACCUAUCUGUUUCCCCAGGCUUUUGAGAAGGGCGUGAGUUCCUGACUCACCUCCUGACAGGGCCAGAUUCUGGCUUUUCCUGUUGAGUGUGGAAGAGGAAGAGGUAAAUUACAAGGAGAUUUGCUUCAUUACCACAUCUCUAGAGGAAUUGUGGAGAUAUCAACAAGAGUCCCAUUGUUUAUACUCCCUGCUCACAAGCAAAGAGAUUUUCAACUGACAGGAACAUAGGAAUUGCUAUGUUGGAACAGGCCAGUGGUCUAUCUUAUCGACUAUCCUGUCUCUGACAGUGACCUGCAAAAGCUACUUCUGAGGACUGUGCUGCAGUAGACAGUUAUGAGAAAACCUGUCCUCAGGGAAAGUUUCCUUCUGAUUCCCAACAGGUAUAUGUUGACCUAAGCCCUAAAGCAUUAGGGUUUAUAUCCCCUCCAAAGUUCAUUUGUUUUUAAUAAUUACUAUUAUAACUUUGGCUAUUCUUGUUAUCCAUGAAAAUGUCUACUCCUUUUUUGAAUCCUGGGAAGCACAUGGCCUCAACAGUAUAUUGUGGCAAUGAGUUUCACAGUCAAAUUUGCAUUGUGUGAAAAACUACUGCCUUUUAUCAGUUUUGAGUAUUCUAGAUUUCAAUGUAAUUGACUCUCUCUCCCCUUGCUCUUUGUUUUAUGAAAAGGGAUGAAUAGAAGUUCCUCUUUUACCUUCUGUAUACUAUCUAGGACAUUUUGCAUAACCUUUUAUUUGUUUCCUGUCUAAGAUGAACAGUCUCAGGGUAUAUGAACACUAAGGAUCCUGUCUACAUAGUUAGGCUGGAAUAGCCCCUUAAGUGUAGAUGCUGCCUACACCUACAGGAGUUUUUCUGUUGAUGUAGGAAUACCACUGCUCUGAAUGACAUUAUCUACAUUGACAUAAACAUUCUUCAGUUGACGUACAGUAGAACCUCAGUUACAAAUUGACCGGUCAACCACACACAUCAUUUGGAACAUGAAGUUCGCAAUCAGGCAGCAGCUGAGACAAAACAAGAAAAGCAAAUACAGUACAGUGCUGUGUUAAAUCUAAACUACUAAAAAAAUCAAGG
Molecule: long non-coding RNA, 1574 nt
Organism: Dermochelys coriacea (leatherback sea turtle)
Lineage: Eukaryota; Metazoa; Chordata; Testudines; Dermochelyidae
Exons: 3
Source: RefSeq, a predicted model, not a curated record